CGGGGUGAGUAACGCGUGGGUAACCUGCCAUAUACAGGGGGAUAACAGCGAGAAAUUGCUGCUAAAACCGCAUAAGCGCACGGAGUCGCAUGACUCAGUGUGAAAAACUCCGGUGGUAUAUGAUGGACCCGCGUCUGAUUAGCCAGUUGGCAGGGUAACGGCCUACCAAAGCGACGAUCAGUAGCCGGCCUGAGAGGGUGGACGGCCACAUUGGGGCUGAGACACGGCCCAAACUCCUACGGGAGGCAGCAG
RNAcentral lists this ribosomal RNA (252 nucleotides) under uncultured bacterium. Its description in RNAcentral is "partial 16S ribosomal RNA". It matches the Rfam family "Bacterial small subunit ribosomal RNA", at positions 100 to 354 of the family's 1533-position model. The record is from RNAcentral.